AGAAAGUCCCACACGGGCGUGUAACACGACCGUGUCGCCCAACACGGGUAGUUACAUGACCGUCGCCUAAAAUUUUUUCACUUUGUCUUCUUUUUUCCCCCGUGUUCGACUUAACCCUUCAUCAUCCCAACGCUGUCGUUGGCUGUCCUAAACCCCCCACCGUCGCCCUUACCUCACCCUCACCCUCACCCUCCUCUGCCUCUUCACUCCCCCUUUCCCCUUUCUUUUCCUUUUGUCCCUGUCUGCCACCCUCAUCCUUCACUUCUCCUUUCCCCCUGCUGCACCACCACGCACUUUCUUCCUUUCCGUUAUUCCUCCAAUACACGAACUCACGCCAUCCA
Molecule: long non-coding RNA, 341 nt
Filed under: Gossypium raimondii (Peruvian cotton)
Lineage: Eukaryota; Viridiplantae; Streptophyta; Magnoliopsida; Malvales; Malvaceae
Description: long non-coding RNA (GRAI_LNC001482)
Source: RNAcentral